Long non-coding RNA from Oryzias melastigma (Indian medaka), 520 nucleotides. RefSeq lists it as uncharacterized. The transcript is spliced from 4 exons. The record is from RefSeq and is a predicted model, not a curated record. Lineage: Eukaryota; Metazoa; Chordata; Actinopteri; Beloniformes; Adrianichthyidae.
GUUUUGAACCUGUUAGAAUUUAAUCUCCACUGACCACCUCUCCUACCACUUCAGAGAAAACACUGGAAAAAAUGUAUUUCUCAAAGCAAGGAAACCAGGACGACAACAACAGGACGUCACAUAAACCCCGAAGUCAUGUUGGAACAGAGAAAACAUCCUGGUUGAAGACAGUCUAGAGUUAAAUGCAUGGAUCCCUGCGGCCCUUCCCUCCUCUGCCUGGAACAGAAAAAAAUGCCCUUUCCACCUCCUGCCACAGCGGUCCGCGCCGUCAUCCAUCUGCUGGCAGGAAGCUCCCUGGAAACCUGCCAGGAGCUGGAAGAUCCCAGCUGAGGGGAUUGGUUUGCUCAUCUGGCUGCCUGGGCCUUCAAACAGCUGGAAACACCAAUGAAAUCCUCAUCAGGAUCAAGCCAAAGGAAAAAAGGAAGAAUCUGCACCUCAUUUCUUCACACAAAGUGUUAAUGACAUCCAAGUCGAAGCUAAAAAGGUUUUGUUGCAAUAGGAAAUAAAAAAAUCGAUUAAA